This 703-nucleotide ribosomal RNA is filed under the name Acanthamoeba sp. AcL-HE19. RNAcentral describes it as "SSU rRNA". It matches the Rfam family "Eukaryotic small subunit ribosomal RNA", at positions 588 to 1107 of the family's 1831-position model. Lineage: Eukaryota; Discosea; Longamoebia; Acanthamoebidae. The record is from RNAcentral.
CAGCUCCRAWAGYGUAUAUUAAAGUUGUUGCAGUUAAAAAGCUCGUAGUUGGAUCUAGGGACGCGCAUUUCAAGCGCCCGUGCCGUCGGGUCAAACCGGCGGCUGCGUUGGCGUUGCGGGCUCGGUCCGUCGGUGCCCCACAAAGGGCUAUCGGCGUGUCAACCGGCCCGCCCGUCCCCUCCUUCUGGAUUCCCGUUCCUGCUAUUGAGUUAGUGGGGACGUCACAGGGGGCUCAUCGUCGUCGUGCAAACGGCGGCGGUGGGUCCCUGGGGCCCAGAUCGUUUACCGUGAAAAAAUUAGAGUGUUCAAAGCAGGCAGAUCCAAUUUUCUGCCACCGAAUACAUUAGCAUGGGAUAAUGGAAUAGGACCCUGUCCUCCUAUUUUCAGUUGGUUUUGGCAGCGCGAGGACUAGGGUAAUGAUUAAUAGGGAUAGUUGGGGGCAUUAAUAUUUAAUUGUCAGAGGUGAAAUUCUUGGAUUUAUGAAAGAUUAACUUCUGCGAAAGCAUCUGCCAAGGAUGUUUUCAUUAAUCAAGAACGAAAGUUAGGGGAUCGAAGACGAUCAGAUACCGUCGUAGUCUUAACCAUAAACGAUGCCGACCAGCGAUUAGGAGACGUUGAAUACAAAACACCACCAUCGGUGCGGUCGUCCUUGGCGUCGGUUUCGGCCGGCGCGGGGGYGGCUUAGCCCGGUGGCACCGGUGAA